This 71-nucleotide transfer RNA is filed under the name Marmota monax (woodchuck). RNAcentral's name for it is "tRNA.Thr". Lineage: Eukaryota; Metazoa; Chordata; Mammalia; Rodentia; Sciuridae. The record is from RNAcentral.
GGGGUUGUGGCUCAGAGGUGGAGUGCUCACCUAGUAUGCAAGAGGCACUGGGUUCAAUCCUCAGCACCACA